CUAAGCAAUAAACAGUCUGUCCUGGGGUUGGGGGGAGAUAUAAAUCAAAUAUUAGGUUGGUACAGAAGGUUCCUCUCUUUACCAAAAUAAAUUUACACAAGGGGAAAUGCUCAGAGAAGGAGACAUAGCAGUCAGUCUGGCAUGUAAAUGAAGUUUCUGUUGAAUAGUCAUCAUUGGUGCACAUGCUAUGUGUUAAGCUUUGGGCUCAAGAAUGCAGAUCCAUAUUUAAUAUUUAUUCAAUGCACUAAGAUAGGGCCUGUGAACAUAGAGCCUUUGGAUGGCUUUACACUCUGUUGACUUGGCUACAUGAGAAUCCUGUUUCCUAGGUUCCCUUUCUUUGAUGGUUCUGAAUUAGGGUAGACUACUAGAGCAUUUGCAUGAGAUUUGGAAGGCAGAACUGAAGCGGCAGGAGUUCUCCCCUGGAGGUCACGAUGAGGUGCUGGGAGCUGCCGCAGUUCCUCCAGUCACCACUGAUCUGCUGCUCACCUUGCUGUGUGGGUAGCGGCUGAGCCUGCAGAGAUCUUCCAGGUCCUUUAGACCCCUUCCUUCAGACUGCUGAGCAGGUGCACGUCAUCUUUGUAUUGCGAGAAGCUGUUGACGAGGAGCGGCGAUGAGAGACAAGUGUGGGUUGGUUGGUUCUCUGGGUCCAGGUUUAUCCUUGUAGAUUCCAGUUUGCCCUCUCCUCGCGGAACUUGCAGCUUUCCUUUCUAUUGCUGGUCCUGCUGCCACAGAUGGAGCUAACGGCCCCAUCAACUUCUCCACCUGAGCCCAUCCGUGGCUCCUGAUUUUCUUCGGAUCUUCUUGAUAGCCCCUGCUGGACUUCUGCUCCCCUCGUUUCUCCAAUGGAACCCACGCUGUGUAAUAAACCCCCAUUCCACAUCACUUGUUUGUGGCAGAGGCUUGUUUGUGGCAGAAGGGUCUCCAAUCAACCAGCUGAGAAGGCCUGAAGGACAGUCAGGAAGUUGGUAUUGGAAACUGAAGAGAAGGCAGCCAUGGUACCCAGUGGUGCAAAGUUCAGAGAAAUAAAGACACAGAGAGAAAUUAAGUCACUUCUUGAGGCCACACAGCACAGGAGGCAGCCAGAAUUCGAAUCCAUGAACAAAUGAACACACUCAAGGCCUGUCAUCGGGAUGGUCACGUGUUCUAUUGAUGAAAUCAUGUGUGUUCACUCCUGAGGAAACCUCUCAGCAUUCCCAUUUUUCUAAUGUAUAUGAAAUAAAGACACCUGAUCACUAAAGCUUAGUCAUAGAACCCUGGAGCCACGAUGGUUGCUGAUGGACUCUCACCCACUUGAAGGGUCUAUAGAUUUCACUUUCAUUGAUGAAAUGCAAUAGAUAAUUUGGUGUUUGCUAGGAAGCACUUGGGUAAAGUGGCAAGACCCUUAUAAAGGGAGUGUGGGGCUGAGAGAGGAGGCUAAAGUUGAUCCACAGUAUUACACAGCUGAAAGCUACUGUAGGGCCUUUCAGCCAAGUCCGUCUGAUAUAAACAUUAUUACGAGUUGGCAGCCCUGGGUUCAGGUCACAGGUCAUGACUGACAGGCUAUGUCUUUGGGAAAAUCCUUUAAACCUCUUAGACUCAGUUUUAAAACCUAUGCAGUGACUCUCUCAAGAGGAGUGGAUGCCAUCAACUGGAGCUGAGAUGUUUGAUAAUAGACACCCAGUCCCAAGUUGUGGUGUUAGCAGCGCCACAGUCUACCUUUCUGACAUGUCUUGACAGUAUGUGGUUCCAUUUCCAAUGUCAUCUCCUGGUCUAGAAUGGCUGCUGGAAAUUAAGUCCUCUUCACCAGCAGGAAAGAGAAAGGGAAAAGAUAAAAAGAUCACAUCCCACUGGAGAGUCAGCUCCUUUGUAGCUAAUAUGCCUAAGUAUGCAUAGUGGACACCGAGAAGACUAGAUAGGUUCAUGGCUGCAUCCCAAAACAAGUGUUCUGUUAGUAAGGAAGCGUGGUGAUGGUGGUGUUGAUGAGGAUAGAUUCUGGAUAGACUACAGAUAAUUUUCUGGGCAGUGAUCUGGCCUGGAUGGGGACAAGAAGUAGUCAUCAAGGGGUCAGAGUUGGGGGAGUUGUCCAAGAGAAGUUGUGUUGUUUUUUUCUACAGCAACUUCGUGUCUUGAUUUUUUAUUCUGUCAGUUAAACAUGAGCAUGUUAUGCCUGCAGAAAAGGGACUUUUGCAAGGCUCUGUGUGCUCCAGUGUGGAAGAUGGGAGGAGGUUUAAACAGGAAAACAACCCAGCUGGAUGCUGGGCACGUACAAUAGAUAACUAUUGGGUUGUGGGCAACAGGCAAGGUGCUCUGAGCAGUAAUUCUCAUCUUUCUUUUUCUUUUAUGGACACAAGGCCACGGCAAGUCCUUCACAGUGAUUGUUGUUUUACUACCAGGUUUCUGAGUGGCUGACUUGUGGGAAUUUUUGAAUAGAAUGUUUCUUGCCAUUUGUCCUAUGUGGAAGAUGAGACUGGGACAAG
Long non-coding RNA from Oryctolagus cuniculus (rabbit), 2456 nucleotides. RefSeq lists it as uncharacterized. The record is from RefSeq and is a predicted model, not a curated record. Lineage: Eukaryota; Metazoa; Chordata; Mammalia; Lagomorpha; Leporidae.